GGCCGGGUAGCUCAGUCGGUAGAGCAACGGACUGAAAAUCCGUGUGUCGGCGGUUCGAAUCCGUCCCCGGCCA
RNAcentral lists this transfer RNA (73 nucleotides) under Bacteroidota bacterium. RNAcentral describes it as "Bacteroidetes bacterium (microbial mat metagenome) tRNA-Phe". It matches the Rfam family "tRNA". Rfam says of the family: Transfer RNA (tRNA) molecules are approximately 80 nucleotides in length. Their secondary structure includes four short double-helical elements and three loops (D, anti-codon, and T loops). Lineage: Bacteria; Pseudomonadati; Bacteroidota. The record is from RNAcentral.